This 617-nucleotide ribosomal RNA is filed under the name uncultured bacterium. RNAcentral's name for it is "bacterial SSU rRNA". It matches the Rfam family "Bacterial small subunit ribosomal RNA", at positions 60 to 672 of the family's 1533-position model. The record is from RNAcentral.
AGUCGAGCGGUAGAGAGGUGCUUGCACCUCUUGAGAGCGGCGGACGGGUGAGUAAAGCCUAGGAAUCUGCCUGGUAGUGGGGGAUAACGCUCGGAAACGGACGCUAAUACCGCAUACGUCCUACGGGAGAAAGCAGGGGACCUUCGGGCCUUGCGCUAUCAGAUGAGCCUAGGUCGGAUUAGCUAGUUGGUGAGGUAAUGGCUCACCAAGGCGACAAUCCGUAACUGGUCUGAGAGGAUGAUCAGUCACACUGGAACUGAGACACGGUCCAGACUCCUACGGGAGGCAGCAGUGGGGAAUAUUGGACAAUGGGCGAAAGCCUGAUCCAGCCAUGCCGCGUGUGUGAAGAAGGUCUUCGGAUUGUAAAGCACUUUAAGUUGGGAGGAAGGGCAUUAACCUAAUACGUUAGUGUUUUGACGUUACCGACAGAAUAAGCACCGGCUAACUCUGUGCCAGCAGCCGCGGUAAUACAGAGGGUGCAAGCGUUAAUCGGAAUUACUGGGCGUAAAGCGCGCGUAGGUGGUUCGUUAAGUUGGAUGUGAAAUCCCCGGGCUCAACCUGGGAACUGCAUUCAAAACUGUCGAGCUAGAGUAUGGUAGAGGGUGGUGGAAUUUCCU